RNAcentral lists this ribosomal RNA (274 nucleotides) under uncultured bacterium. RNAcentral describes it as "partial 16S ribosomal RNA". It matches the Rfam family "Bacterial small subunit ribosomal RNA", at positions 523 to 796 of the family's 1533-position model. The record is from RNAcentral.
AGACAGAGGGCGCGAACGUUGCUCGGAAUCACUGGGCGUAAAGCGGGCGUAGGCGGGUCGGCAAGUCCGGUGUGAAAGCCCUGGGCUCAACCCAGGAAUUGCGCCGGAAACUGCCGGUCUUGGGUGCCGGAGAGGGUGGCGGAAUUCCCGGUGUAGAGGUGAAAUUCGUUGAUAUCGGGAGGAACACCUGUAGCGAAGGCGGCUACCUGGACGGCUACCGACGCUGAGGCCCGAAAGCGUGGGGAGCAAACAGGAUUAGAAACCCUAGUAGUCC